This 9516-nucleotide long non-coding RNA is filed under the name Medicago truncatula (barrel medic). Its description in RNAcentral is "long non-coding RNA (MTRU_LNC007681)". Lineage: Eukaryota; Viridiplantae; Streptophyta; Magnoliopsida; Fabales; Fabaceae. The record is from RNAcentral.
GUUUCCCCCCCCCCCCCCCCCCCUUUUUUUUUUUUUUUUUUGUAAACUAGGUAUCCUCCGCGCGCAACUGCGGAGACUAAUCCCUCGAGCAUUGUGAGACCCAAAUGGACGGCAGACUCUCCCUAAGAGUUUUAACGCUGCUGGAGGUAUUGUAAAUAAUAUUUUGUGUUAUAUUAUUUUUAAGAGUGUAUAUUUCUAUAUAAAAAGAGUGAGUUUUGCCUUCAACCUCGAGGUAAUCGGUUUGAGACCUAGGCACUGAGAACAUGAGUUUUUUCGAUUAGCUCUUUAAAAAAUUAUUUAUAGGAGGAAUAAUUGUUUUUAUGGAAUUUGUCGUGUAAUAAAAAUCUAAAUCGUCUAGUCUACAAUUUUGUAUAGUCUUCAAUUAUGUUGUGAAUUCGGGCUUUGAAACUUCACACCAAUCCAAACUAUGAUGUGUGGAGAAAGUAUCAAUGGCAACCAACAACCAAAUUAACCAUAAGCAAUAACAAUAAUAUAUACCAAGUCUAUAAACCAAGUGCAUAGCAAAAUCACAAUCCAACCAAAUAAUAAACAAGAUAAAAGAGUAAAGAAAAAUAGACAACAACACCAAGAGAUUGUUCACCCAGUUCGGUCCAACCAUGACCUACUCUGGAGGAGAGAUUGAUCUCUUCAAUCCACUAUCAAUGAGUUCUUACAAAGAGAUACAAAUGAGUUACAAGAAAUUAGCUUCAACAAGCUCACAAAAAACAACCCUAAUUUCUACCAAUUUUCCCAAUCUCACCAAUGAACAAGACACUCAUGAUUUUUACUCUCCCAAGGUGUUUACAAUUGUUUCACAACUCUAGAAUCUAACCCCCAAAAGAGAACCAACUCUUAGCCUUUGAUUUCACUUAGGAUCUUCUCUUUUGGUUUCACAAGACUCACCCAAGUUGCUCGCAAAUGACUCUCCACUCAUGUGUUUCCCAACCCCAUGAAUCUUCUCCAAAAGGCACCAACCCUUUUCACAAGAGCCCCCUCUUUUGGUUCUCCAAGAUUCACAUCUUGAAGCUUUGAACCUCACCCAAAGACCCUCAACCUUUAGUAUCUAAAACCCUAAAAGUUUCAUCCUUUGGUUGUUAUGGGAUUCACCAAGCUUACCCAACAAAUGGAUCAGGGAGUGUUUAAAACAUGUUUCAGAUCUGUCAAAAUCGUGUCACAUUUUGCCUUCAGAACCAAACAUGCAUUCGGCAUCAGAAAUCGUGACACGGUUGCCAAAUCGUGUCAUGAUUCUUCACUUUCAUAAAGACUUAAUUUUGAGUCAUAUAUAUACCAACAAAUUCAAAUUAUAUAAAUGGACGGUAUAUUCUUUAGUAAAAGUAUUAUUUCACAAUUUAAUACGUAUUAUUAAAAGAAAUUAGAAACAAUUAUCAAAAAAUUAUGAUAGAUAAUAUAUUAAACUCGUCUAGUGUGUGUGUAUUUUUGAAGGAUAGUGUGUGUGUGUAUUAACAUCAUUCUCUAAUUAUUUUUGUAGGGAAACAAUGUUGGUUAAAUUGAUGUGUACUUUUUUUUGUAAAAAAUAAUCGACGUAUUUUUAAAUGAGAUUUACAUGUAGAGAGAGACAGCGGUAGACAUAGUAGUAGAACAAUUAAAAUUUAAAAGACCACUUUACAAAUUGCACCAAGUGGUCCUCUAAAAAAGAUCACCGACAGUUGCUUCACUUUACCUUCAUAUAUUUUAGAGCAAUGAUAUUUGAACAAUUAUUUAGUACAACAUUUUUUGACAAUCUUCUUUUUCUCUCUUUUUAUUGGUCAAAAAUAAUGAAGAGAAAAAAGAAGAGAUAGAGUAAAAAUAUAAUAUGAAUAUGAGAAAAAAAAUUGUCUAAAAAUUAUCACAAAAUGGUUGUACAAAUAUUAUUUCUCCAUAUUUUAGACACAGGCUAAUCAUUAAUUAAUUUGUGUAAAAAAAAACAAUAAUAUUAUUUUGACAACAUUAUUCAACACCUUAUCUUUCUUUCAAAAAACAUUAUUCAACACCUUAUGUUCAUAUUAUCAUUUGAUUUUCUUAAUUAUGUUUUACAUCAGUCACAUCAAGUGACAUUUUACACGCUUAUCAAUUUUUUUUGUCAAGUAGCCUAGUGUUUAGAACUCAUAUAAUUUAAUUGUGAAGAAAUGAAGUGUCAGAGAUUCGAACUCCAACCCCUGCAUAUAAUAUGCAAUAUCCCUACCAACUGAACUAAGCUCACGAAGAUCGCGGUUAUCAAUUUUUGUAGUUCAAAUAACAUCACUAAAAAAAGCUACGAGGCAGACGCACAAAUUUUCAUUGAGCAGUUGUGUUAAUUAAUUUUAUAACGCAAGGAAAAUGGUGAAGUUUUUGUGAAUAGAGAAAUGAUAUAUAUACAAUCAUUUUCAAACAACUUUUGUAAUAACUUUAUCUCUCAUUUUUAUAUUUUAUUUUUAUUUUUUUCUCUAUUAUUUUGGUUUUCGUUUAUGAUUUUUUGUAAGAAAAUGAUUGUCUAUGUAGUUAUCAAUCACAUUGAUGUUCAAAUAACAUUGCUUUUGUGAAUAAUGCAAAAUAGUUUCUCGGAACAAUCAAUUAUUCAAUUGAUAUUUACGAAAUUAGUUUUUGUAGGGUGUCCCUAUAAAUCACAUAUACUUUAAAACAGUCAUAUGUAUUCACGAUUCGAGAUCUUAUAAAAAAACCAUUCCAGAUCAUGUAUGAAAAUGAAAUAUAUAUUUUUUUUGACUGGUGUAUGAAAAUGAAAUAUUUUCAAAAAUAAAAUAUACUCUCUGCCCAUAUAAUGUCAGCGUAGGUGUCGGUGUUUUUCUACCGACUAUAAGAAAAACUGUAAAAUAAAUAAAACAAUAUAGUAAUUUAAAUUAGUGAUUGUAAAUUAUUGUCUUAAAUGUAUAGUUCAAUAUAAUAGAUUAAAAAUGAUGAAAAAAAUAUUAAUUUAAGAGUAGAAUUGAAAUAACAUAUAUGUUUUCGAUAGUUUAACUAAAUUGAUAAAGACAUUGCAUAAUAAUAUACAAGUGUUUUGAAAUUCCAUUUAUUCAUUACAUGUGAAUUUUUAGAUAUUAAACUAUUUGGAAAAUAAAAUAAAAUAUCAAAUAAUUAAGGUUUAAAUAUGUAAGUAGUCCCUGUAAUUUCGCGUAUUUUUGUUUUCGUUCCUGUAAGUUAUUUUGUUCUAAAACAAACUCUGUAUUUUGCUAACCUUUUGGAAAAGGUCCUUGCCGUCAGCUUCCGUCAACAAAAACGCCAUGGUGGCUAACGGAGCACACGUGGCAGUUCAUGAGUUGGCAAAGUUGAUGAGAUGGAAUGAGAGAUGAUAAGUUGUUAAAAUACAGGGACUAAAAUCAAAAACGUAAAUUGACACAGGGAUGAAAUUAAAAAAACGUUUAAUCUUCUUUUUCCUCUCAAAUUUCAGUCUUCUUCUUCCUCUCAAACUUUCCCCAAUCUAUCCCAUACCUUGCGCCCUUGAACCAAAACUCAUAUCCUUCAACAAUUUAUUCUAAUUCCAUUACUCAAUCAUAUUGUGUGUUUUGAUUGUAAUGUUAAGUUGAAACAUUGUAUGCUACUUAAGUUUGAUUAAUUUAGUGAUGGUUGUUGCGAUUGAUUGCAAAUUCAUUCAUAAAGUUUGUAGAUAAUAAAGGCAAGAAUACAUCUUUUUCAUCCCUCUUUUUUUUCCACAAUUCCCUCUUAUUCUUCCAGAUUGCUACAAUUACCAUACAUAAAUAGUCAGAUCCCCUUUCAUCUUUUCUCACUCACAUUCAAAUUCAAACUCUAAUUUCUCAAAUUUUUGCUUUUGAAUUGUGUAAUUUUGUGUUUUUAUGUAAUUGGUGUAGAGAGUUUAUGUUGUUUUAAUGUGUUGAUUAAGAGUGGGUCUUGUUGUUGUUGAUUGAUGAUUAUUAGUUUUGUUUAAAAAAAUAUAUAUGUUUGUUGUUUUCUUUCUUUUCCUGGGUUUGGUGUUGAUGAUUUAUGAAUAUGGUGAUGAAGAUGAAGAAGACAAUGAAGGAAGAAGAAGAAUAAGAUCUUGAUUUUAAAUUUGAAAUUUUGAUUUUACGUUUUUUAUUUUAGUCCCUGUGGUAAUUUACGCUUUUGAUUUUAGUCCCUGACUUUACACAACUAAUCAUCUCUCAUGCCAUCUCAUCAAAUGUGCCAAGUCAUGACCUGCCACCUGUGCUCCGUUAGCCACAAUGGCGUUUUUGUUGACAGAAGCUGAUGGUAAGGACCAUUUUCAAAAGGUCAAAAAGAUACAAGGUUUAUUUUAUAUAAAAAAAAAAACUUACAAGGACGAAAACAAAAAAUACGCGAACUUAGAGGAACCUUUUACAUAUUUAAGCCAAUAACUAAUAGCACUUAUUUUGGUACAUUUCUCUUUUGCAAAUGUGAAACUUAAUAUUGGAUGGGGUCAAUAAUUUUGAGAAUGAAUAAACCCAUUAUUUAGUCUUUUAAUUUUUUUUUUCCAUCCAUCAGGUUUCUAAACUAUUUACAAACACUAAAUGUCCUUAAGACAUAGCUCAAGUAACAAUAUUGAUAUUGAGAAGUUGGAUAUUUUCAUCCGAGUUUGAACUCGAAUUCUUGCAAUUACGAGUGUGAAUUUCAGGUAAUUUAUAUCAAUUUAUCUGUAAACAAAAGGAGAUAUAUACGCGUAACAAAUAGGUCUAAUGCAAAUUAACAACUUAUUUUUAGUUUAUAAAAUAUAUGAAAUUUAAUCCUUUAGUCCCUAGUAUAUUUUAACAAUGGGCACUAAAGCAACAUAUAUUUCAUAUAUUUUAAAUACUACUACAUCUUUCCUUAUGUAUAAGCUCAUUUGACAUUUUCACAUAUAUUAAAAAAGUUAGUAGUGUCUUGACAAAAAAGAAGCUCCUUAGAGUUUCCUUAUGUAUAUUUUUUUAAACCGAAAAAAUUGUGUACAAAAAAUGACUAUUAUUACUAAAAAAAAUCUUUUGCAUAUAGAUGUGUUCAACAUUUAUUUUGCAAUUCUCAAGACAAAUCAGUGGUACAUCUUAAUAAGUGAUAUAUUUGUUAGGAAAAAAAAUUACUAUAUGUAUCUAGUUAUUUGCAAGACUAAUGAUUCUUAGCAAAUAUGCUUAUAUUGAGAGAACUUUUUUCUAAAGAGAGCUUAUAAUUAGAGACUAAGAUUUUGCCAAAAAAUAAAGAAAAAUUAGAGAAUAAGGUUUAUACUAUACUUUAGAAACUAAUUUGAUGAGAUACGACUAAAUCGAAGAUAUAUUUUUUUAGAAUAGUGUUAGAACCUUAGAAAUUAUAAUCAAUAGAAAUAGAAAUGUUCCUUACAGAUCCAUAAUAGUGACAAUCUUGUCUUUUCUUUUGAGGAAAUAAUAAUAAAGGUGGUGCCAACAUUUCAACAAACCUAGCUAUUUUAAUUAUUCUGUUCUCACAGCCUGCACCUUAGAUCAAAUCCAAAUUGGGUCAUCACCGUUCCAAAAUGCUUAGGGACGUUACUCUAAAUGUCAAUAUGAAUGAGUAAUUCAAAUAGUUAACAUAGCCCGCCAGCCUUAUAUAAUAAUAUCAAUAUAUGUCGACUAAUUAUCGAGAUGCUAAAUUGGAGUACACUUCACAAACAAAAAUCUUUCAUAAGGCGUUUUUUCUCUUAAUACAUUUUUUCUUUUCUUAUGCUAGUAACAUUUACUCUGUAUUGGCCUUCCUAAGAAGAAGUUGGAUAGUAGCAAUGUGUUCGUGAGACUGCUGAUAUCUUAAAAGAAUGUUCUCAUAGAUUCCACUUUUUUAGUAAGCUUUUAUGUGUAUGAGUUUGCAAAUUUAACCCUUUUUAAUUCGGAUAGAUUUAUAAGUCACACCUUCAAGUACAAUCGACAAAAUUUCAGUAAUAAUUACGGUUUAGGGUUUAUGGGUCUAGAUCUACUAAAAAUGAGUGGGUGUAUAAAUUAGUAUAUCCUAGAGUUUAUUAUCUUACGUUCGAUCUUCUUUGCAGAAACUCGUGCAUGUUCGUGAUAUAUAUUUUCGCGAGAAGUACAUUUCCCUAAAACAAAAUCAACCACUGACAUAAACACGUCAAAUGUAAGCCGGUAAAUCCAAGCUUUACUAACACGAGUUAUAUUAUAUCAUUGGCAUCAGCUACUUAAGAACUACUGUAGAAAAUUUACAGCAAGUCAUCGAGGCUUAAUAAAAUGUGUUGAUAUAGUUACAAAGAUAAAUUAAAUAGCAGAGCAUACAUGAAGAGAACAAAUGUAGAGCAACCCCUUAAACAAACCCUCUCAGUAAGGUAUCUUCACAUUACUCUAAGUUCAUAAAAGAUGACUUUAAAAACGAUUAUUUCAAAAUGCAAGUAUUCUCCGACCCCUUUUUCCCGGAUCUAGAUCUAAUAGUGUAAGGAUAUAUAUAAAUCAUUGUCACAUUUUACAACUCAAGAGUUUACCUCAACUCGUUUUGUUUAGGUAAAUUCGACUCGAGAACUCGUAUGACUUUACCUAAAAUUAAAAUUAUAUAAAAUUUAUUAUAUAUGCAUGACAUAUGUAAGUUAAUAUAAUAUUGUAAAUAGGUCAAUAGUGCAAAAUAUGACUUAAUUACAAAGACAAAUUAUACCAUAAUAAAAUGUUAUGCUCAACUUAGCUUCAAAAUACAAAAAUUAACGCACAAAAUCAUAAGUCUCUAAGUUUAAGCCAUCCAUAAAACCAUCCAAAAAAAGAAAGUUUCACAAGUUCCUAAAGUUAUUAAUAAAACUAUCUAAAAAAUAAAGUAGUUAAUUUCUUCAAAACGUCAACAAACACCACCACAACAACCCUAACCAGUGUCACAAUCACCGGCGUUGAAAUAUGAAUUUCCACCGUCUGAAUCACAACCCUAAAUGGUAUGUGCUCCCCUGUUCAUGGUUUGAGAACUUAGAAAAGAAAAAGGGCAAUCCGGUGCACUAAAGCUCCCACAUACGCAGGGUCCGGGAAGGGGUCCCACCAUUUUUUGUGUAUUGUACGCAACCUUACCCUGUUUUUGAUCACAAAAGAAAAAGAAACGUUUCAUUUUAGGAACAACUUGUCACUGUAAAGGUAACUAUUAAUUAAACGUUUCAGUCUUUGGGGUUGUAGAAAAGGAAUUGGAUUUUGAAAAAAAUGGGCACAUAAAAAGGGCCAAUUUUUAGAUGUAAACUCGUAAAACUCAGUAAACUCGGUCGAGUUUACACGAGUUUACCUAGUGUUAACUCGGUCAAACUCGUUAAACCUUCCAAUUUUACCAGAAACCGAGUUUACCUCCGAAUUAACAUGAUUUUGGCACCUACGUAAACUCGAAGAGUUAACACUCAAUUUGCGGAACAUUGCAUAUAUAUUUAAAGAUAUAUGUAUAAUUAUAGAGAAAGUAGAGAAGGGAUAUACCAUUUUAUGUAGGGUUAUUAUGUAUCAAAUCAUAAAGAGUCGAGAGUUGUAUUAUACCAUAAUAUUCUUCCGUAAACUGGUAGUCAUGAUCAUGACGUAUAUUAUUCAAGUAUAUGCAAAAACAUGUCUGUAUCUAGUCUAAAUUUUUGACCAAAUGCAUGUAUUUGCUUAUAUUUUGUUACUACUUACUACUCGCCAAGUAAUGCUCAAUAUCUAAUAUAUAUAUUUCAAGACCAUCAAAGAUAACUCAGUUGAACAAUACAUAAUAUAUGCAAGGUUCGGGGUAUAUUACAUUUUCAAUUAUUCUAAUAAUAAAUUUAAAUGACACUUAAAUUAUACAACUAUUAAAUAGAUCUUAGUACCGUAAAAUUUAUAUUCGAGACUUGCUAGGGAGAACCAUCAACCUCAACAAAAAUUUCUACUUGAAUCUAACGCAAACAAAAGGUCCAACCAUCUAUGAAUCUCCGUUGAUAUCACAAAUGAUGUUUGAUACAAGAGAGACAUAUUAGAACAUAAUCUAUGUACAAUCUACAUUAAAAUAAAAAACAAGUCUACAGUCAUAUAAAUAACACAAUUUCAAAAUCUCAAAAUUAGGUAUGAAAACAAAAUGAUUAGAAAAAUAAAUGAUUCAAUCAUUCCGAGAUUUGUGCAAAAAAAAAAAAAAAAACAUUUUGAAAAUACAAUGUUAGAAACUUAUGAUCAAUAUAUAUUUUUCCUUACACAUCAAAAAUAAUUAAGCUAUAUUCUUGUCUUUUCAUUUUGGGCAAACUAAAAUUAAAAUCAAGGUAGUGUCAAUGUUUCUAUAGUCCUAGCUAUUUGAUUUUCUUCUAAGCUAACAAGAGUCUUCCAAAAUCAAAUUCGCGCUCAAAAUUAAAGCAACUUGGGUGGUAACCAUUCCAAAAUACUUAGGGCCACAUUGCUCUAAAAGUCAAUAAGAAUAAGUAAUAAUUCAAAGAUAGCCAACCUUAUAGUAUAUUUUAAUAUGAAUGUAUGCAUGUUUCCUAGAAGGUGAGUAAGCUAACUAAUCAAGAUACUUUGUUGGAGUUAAAUAUGGUAAAGAAUCCAACUAUAAAAUGGGGACUUGCCCCAGCAUUCUUUCACAAACCAAAACCAACUUCUAAGAAAAAAAUGAGGUCCCUAAUGGCCUCUGCUUCUCUCACUCUUGCAUUAGCCAUCCUCUUUUUGAGUUUCCCAUCUGAAAUUUCAGCAAACAAAUACGCAUAUUCCUCUCCACCACCACCACAUUACUCAUCUCCUCCACCUCCACCGGUUCACACUUACCCUAAACCAGUCUACCACUCUCCACCACCACCAGUUCACACCUACCCUAAACCAGUUUACCACUCUCCACCACCACCAGUUCACAAGUACCCUCACCCUAAACCAGUAUACCACUCUCCACCACCCCCAGUUCACAAGUACCCUCAUCCACACCCAGUCUACCAUUCUCCACCACCCCCAGUUCACAAGUACCCCCAUCCUCACCCAGUGUACCACUCUCCCCCACCACCACCACCAAAGAAGUCCUACAAAUACCCAUCUCCCCCACCACCACCAGUUCACACCUACCCUAAACCAGUCUACCACUCUCCUCCACCCCCAGUUCAUCACACCUACCCUAAACCAGUCUACCACUCUCCUCCACCCCCAGUUCACACCUACCCUCACCCUAAACCAGUCUACCACUCUCCACCACCCCCAGUUCACACUUACCCUAAACCAGUCUACCACUCCCCACCACCACCAGUUCACACCUACGUCCCUCACCCUAAGCCAGUCUACCACUCUCCACCACCACCAGUUCACACCUAUCCCCCACAUGUUCCCCACCCAGUUUACCAUUCUCCUCCUCCUCCAGUUCAUUCCCCACCUCCACCACACUAUUACUACAAAUCACCUCCUCCACCUUACCACAACUAGAUAGCCCAUAAUUGGCAUCACACCAUAUGGUAACUUUUCAUGCAACAUAUAUAUUAUAACUUUUCAUAUUCUCUCUUUAUUAACUAGUUAUCGGUAUGAUUGUCGAGUAUAUACUAACAAGGCUAAUUUGAAAUGAAACUUCAUGUGCAAUGAAACAUUCUUUUACUGGUUAAUAUUUUAUUCUAUGUUUCAUUGAAAUUAAUAUUUUUCUAAUAGUAUUUGGUUAUUAAGGGAUUAGAGUAUAUCAGACAUAAACUGACAGAUCAAUAUAUUUGCAUUUGUGUAGGAUCUAAAC